UACAGGGGCCCCAAGCGUUAAUCGGAAUUACUGGGCUUAAAGGGUGCGUAGGCUGUCCCGUAAGUGCUCUGUGAAAGCCCUCGGCUCAACCGAGGAACAGCAGGGCAUACUGCGGGACUUGAGGAAGGUAGAGGCCGUUGGAACGCUCGGUGGAGCGGUGGAAUGCGUAGAGAUCGAGCGGAACGCCAAAAGUGAAGACAGACGGCUGGGCCUUUCCUGACGCUGAGGCACGAAAGCGUGGGGAGCAAACCGG
This 253-nucleotide ribosomal RNA is filed under the name uncultured bacterium. RNAcentral's name for it is "partial 16S ribosomal RNA". It matches the Rfam family "Bacterial small subunit ribosomal RNA", at positions 524 to 776 of the family's 1533-position model. The record is from RNAcentral.